CAUUAUCGUUAAACCGAGGCGCGACGGCUGUCGCUGACCUUCCCCGGUCGUGCACGCCCGAGCCCCUCUCACAAUCCAUCUCACCCUUUGUGCAUCACCGCGUGGGUCCUCCUUUGCCGGAGGGUCCGCGUCUUUACACAAAACUCGAUACAGUGUAGAAUGUUUAUUUUCGCGCUCGCACGCGAUCAAUAAUACAACUUUCAACAACGGAUCUCUUGGCUCUCGCAUCGAUGAAGAACGCAGCGAAAUGCGAUACGUAAUGUGAAUUGCAGAAUUCAGUGAAUCAUCGAAUCUUUGAACGCACCUUGCGCCCCUUGGCAUUCCGAGGGGCACACCCGUUUGAGUGUCGUGAAAUCUUCAAAAACCCUCUCUUUUGAGGAUUUUUGGACUUGGAGGUUCAAUGCUCGCUUUCGCCUUUUAGAAAGCGAGCUCCUCUCAAAUGAAUCAGUGGGGUCUGCUUUGCCGGUCCUUGACGUGAUAAGAUCUUUCUACGUUUUGGAUUCGACAUCGUCCCGCUCCCAAUCGUCCCACGGACAAAAGGAUGGUGCUCCGGUCGCGGUCGGACCCACCAAAAAAACCUUGACCUCAAAUCGGGUGAGACUACCCGCUGAACUUAAGCAUAUCAAUAAGCGGAGGAAAAGAAACUAACAAGGAUUCCCCUAGUAACUGCGAGUGAAGCGGGAAAAGCUCAAAUUUAAAAUCUGGUGGUCUUUGGCCAUCCGAGUUGUAAUCUAGAGAAGCGUCUUCCGCGCUGGACCGUGCACAAGUCUCCUGGAACGGAGCGUCGUAGAGGGUGAGAAUCCCGUCUUUGGCAUGGACACACCAGGGCUUUUGCGAUGCGCUCUCGAAGAGUCGAGUUGUUUGGGAAUGCAGCUCAAAAUGGGUGGUGAACUCCAUCUAAAGCUAAAUAUUGGCGAGAGACCGAUAGCGAACAAGUACCGUGAGGGAAAGA
Molecule: ribosomal RNA, 952 nt
Filed under: uncultured Russula
Lineage: Eukaryota; Fungi; Basidiomycota; Agaricomycetes; Russulales; Russulaceae
Description: eukaryotic LSU rRNA
Rfam family: Eukaryotic large subunit ribosomal RNA (bases 581-952)
Source: RNAcentral